Small nucleolar RNA from Catharus ustulatus (Swainson's thrush), 84 nucleotides. NCBI's taxonomy places the organism in Eukaryota, Metazoa, Chordata, Aves, Passeriformes, Turdidae. The record is from Ensembl.
GGCCCGGGAUGAGCGCUGGCAUGUAUUAUCUGAGCGGAGCUGAUGUCUCUCACCGCUUUAGCUCUAGAAUUACUCUGAGGCCGG